AGAGAACAAACUACCAAUUAACGAGCGAGGAAACAGGGCCAGAGAAUUGGAACAAAAUACAAGGCUGCCUCUGAAAGGAAUAUCUUUGUGCUGAUGUGUCCAUCAAGAGAACAUACACAGAAGUGACACUUGCCAGUAAUUUGCAAGCAGAUGGAACUUCAAUAUGGCAAUAGAGAAAGAAUCAAUUAGACCAGAGUCUCCUCAGGAAGACUUUCUAUAGAUAUCUGGUGAGCAUCUGCUAGAUGCCAGGGUUGGGGAGAGUCAAGUUGAAGCAAGCAUGAACCCUCAAGGACCUACCAUUUCAAGGCAAGAAAUAGAUACAAAUACAGAAAAUAUUUACUGGAUAGCUACUAGACAUAAGGAUGCAGAAAUGAAUUAGAAAAAUUCCUCGCCCUUGUUCAAAGCUAUGCUGGCUCUUAGAACAUCUGAGCCCCCACUGUUUCAUCUUUAGAGGAUCCCAGCUGCUGGGGUGUGAGGCCAGUGCUGGAGCCAGCAGUCUCUGACCCAGAAGGGACCUGAGGUGCUAAAGAAAACAGGCUUGCUUUGCCUAUUCAUACUUAUUACCUAAUAAAUGCAAAAUGGUUGCUGAAGCUCCAGAUGCCACAUCUGUGUCCAAGGGGGGUACAAGCUGGAAAAGGGGAAAAUGAAUCAUGCUACAGGCCAAGUGUCCAUCACUGAUUCCCAGAGAUGCCCUUUGUGUGGUAGGCACUUCCAUGUGGACUCGCUACAGAGGUCAUAAGACCCUAAUUCCAGAGGGCCCUACCCUAUAACCAGAAGGAAGAACUAUUGCACAGAGAAUCUAAGAAGAAUCUAGACAGACAGCCCUUGCUGGAUUUCUCCACUCUGUUAGCAUUCGAUCAUUUGCCUUUUGUCCAGUCAUAUUUCUGCAUGGCUGUCCAUACUUUGUUGAACCUAAGCACAAAAUGGAAAGUUUUCCCUGUAUCUUUGGGUCGUCAUUCUGAAGGCUCCCAUGUUAUGUAAAACUAUGAUCAAAUAAAUAUGCAUGCCUUUUCUCCUAUAA
RNAcentral lists this long non-coding RNA (1021 nucleotides) under Homo sapiens (human). RNAcentral's name for it is "long intergenic non-protein coding RNA 1643". Lineage: Eukaryota; Metazoa; Chordata; Mammalia; Primates; Hominidae. The record is from RNAcentral.